This is a non-coding RNA of Oncorhynchus gorbuscha (pink salmon), 85 nucleotides long. Lineage: Eukaryota; Metazoa; Chordata; Actinopteri; Salmoniformes; Salmonidae. The record is from the annotation of a RefSeq genome assembly.
GCUGUGAUGGCCGAGUGGUUAAGGCGUUGGACUUGAAAUCCAAUGGGGUCUCCAGCCGAGGUUCCUCAAACUCCUGCUCACAGCU